UCUGCUACACUUCUCUUACAACCCCCCCCCCCCCCCCCAGCCCUUCUCCUCUGUCCUCCUGAUCCAGGUAGAACCCUGCUGUCUCCUCAUGUCAUGUCACCAUGGAGACGUGUUCUGCGAGUGUUGUAGAGUUUAGCGGAAUCCAAUUGGCCCGGUAGAGCACUUAUGCAAUCAGUGGCUCCUGGUUGUGUAUGCUACUUUAUCAUGUAUAUAUUAUCUACUGUAUAUAUUCCUGGAGACCAGGUGACUUCGGGACAGAUUUGACCCACAUAUGGUGCCGACCUAGGCCUGAUCCAGGUCUAGAUCAGGUCUAGAUCAGGUGUAGAUCAGGUGUAGAUUAGGUCUAGAUCAGGUCUACAUCAGGUCUACAUCAGGACUAGAUCAGGUCUAGAUCAGGUCUAGAUCAGGUCUACAUCAGGUCUAGAACAGGACUAGAUCAGGUCUACAUCAGGACUAGAUCAGGUCUAGAUCAGGUCUAGAUCAGGACUAGAUCAGGACUAGAUCAGGUCUAGAUCAGGUCUACAUCAGGUCUAGAUCAGGUCUAGAUUAGGUCUAGAUCAGGGCCAGAUCUGUACCAGAGUCAGCUGUCUGGGUUUAGAUAUUUAAAAUAGAUGAAGAACAUUUGUGAAGUAUAACGAUCACAGGUCCAUGUUUAGGUUCCUUCUUUUUGUUUUGCAUUUUUUUGUAAGUAUAUGUAGUUGAGUGUGUUCUGGGUCUUUGUGUCGCCUCCUGCUGUGUAAUCUCUUUACUUUUAUGAUGAAGGACGACACUAACCGAGGCAGCUUUGCCACCCAACUAGCGUUGAAUGUGGGGACAUUAGGUGUCCGGAUCUGCCUGGGUUAGUUCCAGUUUUUAAGGGCACAAUUCAAAGAGAUGAAUCUGAUGAGAAACUGUGAACGCCGUGGGCAGCAUUUGGUGGAAAAAAGUGGGAUUUCCUGUCACUUUUAGAACUUCUUUUUCUUUUACAAAAACCUCUACAGCAUACUGUGUACAUCUGACAAUCUUGCUAUUCUGAGAUUCAGAAUAGAUUUAUCUUUCUUCAGAAUAGAUUUAUCUUUCUGAAUCGUUCCCUAGUUUCACUUCUGCCUCAUUGGAGUCUGUGCACUGAAUAUUUCGGAUUAUUUAUCGUACGUUAAAAAAAACAAUCAGAAACACACUGUUCACACCCCCUUGGUUUCAUACACUG
Molecule: long non-coding RNA, 1186 nt
Organism: Clupea harengus (Atlantic herring)
Lineage: Eukaryota; Metazoa; Chordata; Actinopteri; Clupeiformes; Clupeidae
Source: Ensembl